GACGAACGCUGGCGGCGUGCCUAACACAUGCAAGUCGAGCGGAAAGGCCCCUUCGGGGGUACUCGAGCGGCGAACGGGUGAGUAACACGUGGGUGACCUGCCCUUGGCUCUGGGAUAACCCCGGGAAACCGGGGCUAAUACCGGAUACGACACGCGAUCGCAUGGUCUGCGUGUGGAAAGGAUUUCCGGCCGAGGAUGGACUCGCGGCCUAUCAGCUAGUUGGUGGGGUAACGGCCCACCAAGGCGACGACGGGUAGCCGGCCUGAGAGGGCGACCGGCCACACUGGGACUGAGACACGGCCCAGACUCCUACGGGAGGCAGCAGUGGGGAAUAUUGCGCAAUGGGCGAAAGCCUGACGCAGCAACGCCGCGUGAGGGAUGACGGCCUUCGGGUUGUAAACCUCUUUCAGCUCCGACGAAGCCUUCGGGUGACUGUAGGAGCAGAAGAAGCACCGGCUAACUACGUGCCAGCAGCCGCCGUAAAAC
RNAcentral lists this ribosomal RNA (486 nucleotides) under uncultured bacterium. RNAcentral describes it as "bacterial SSU rRNA". It matches the Rfam family "Bacterial small subunit ribosomal RNA", at positions 28 to 526 of the family's 1533-position model. The record is from RNAcentral.